Long non-coding RNA from Anas platyrhynchos (mallard), 1880 nucleotides. RefSeq lists it as uncharacterized. The record is from RefSeq and is a predicted model, not a curated record. NCBI's taxonomy places the organism in Eukaryota, Metazoa, Chordata, Aves, Anseriformes, Anatidae.
CUACUUGGGGCCAUGCGGGGUUGUUGUGGCAGCAAAUGUCCAAAUCGUCUUCCUCCCAUCUUCUGUGGGUGGUUCUCAAAUGUAAUGAAUGAUAAAAGAAUGACCCAAAAGUCACGAUGGCAGCUUUACAGCAACAGAAGAUUUCUCUGUAAGACUACUUGUCCUCACUUUCAAGUGUGUUUGCUCUCUCUGACCCAUGGAAAUACUGAGCUUUGAUUAAAAAGAGGAAAUAGGGAAGUUGACACUAUAAACUUUGACUUGGUUUAAAAUGGUAAAAAAAGUAUUUUGAAGAAUAUUUUGCUGCUUGAAUGCUGACUAAAACUAGACUGACCUUUCUCUGGGAAAUUCAAACAAACAAAAAAUAAUAAUAAAAUAAAAGGGAAGAAACAAAAAAUAAAACAGCAAACUUCAGAAAUUCCCUUCAGAAGGGAUUUUUUUUUAAAGGUAACAAUUAUAAAACUAUCAAAAAUGUCUCUCUUCAAGGCUUUCAGGAGGAAGAAUUGCUGGAGAAGUACAGACUCCGAUACCUAUGAGUCACUUCUCCUCUUCCUACUGUGGGACCCCAUCCUGCCCUUGAACCCUGGCAGCCUGUGGCCAUGAGUUUUUUUUUGCUCACAUUCCAAGUCUGGGAAAACUGAAGCUUUUUCAGCCCACAGUUUUAAUGACUGCUCAGCUUAUCAGAGAGAAUGGAGAGGGUGACCUGGCAGGAAAGCAGCUGGUGCCCUGCUGGAUCCCCUGCAAGGAACUGGAAAAACAUCUUCCCCCAUGGAAAGGUCUGGUUUGCCUUGAUCUUAGAGUCCACCCCCAGAAGCGGUUCUCCACCUUACAGACAAGGCUUCAGCACCGCCCACCUCUACCGCCUUCACCUGACUGCAAAACCUUCACCCCUGCAAAACCAUGGCUAUUGGGUUCCUGGGCCUCACACACCACCACCAAGGUUAAAUCCAUUAAUACUGGGAGGUCUAAUCAGAAUGCACGAUGUGCUACACAAAUGGCCAGGCUUGAAUAAUUUGUCAACAUAUUUGUCAUUUCUCAUCUUUUUAAACAUGCUGCACGUUCAGGCAUUUGAAUUCUAGCCUGGUGGUCUAAGAAGUGGUCAUAUAUAAGAGAUGAAAUUUUGAAGAAAAGAGUUCCAGUUCACUGAAGAAUUCAAACACAUGCUUUGAUUGACAGUGCAAAUGCCUUGAAACAGUUAAUGCUGGAUGAGAUAUUUGUGGAGCAGACAAAUGUUCAUAAGGAAGAAACUCAACGUGAAAAUGCUCGGUGAAAGCAAGCUAUUUCCCAGACAGGUGUCACUGGGAGAAGACCUCUGCUAUGGGCUAUUUCCCACCAGUUCGUUGGCUUGGCUGACGGGACACUGAAGCUUUAGAGAACUGCAGUUUCUGCACUAUGCAGCUCCUUUCAAAGCAGGACAGGAGCCCUGAGGGGGUUCGUGCUCCUUAGAAGCCCUGGGAGUUUUAGAAACCCCUGGGAAGGUUGGUUCAGCUCUGCAGCUGAGUGUCUGGACACUGUUAAGUCCUUGGCUCGUGCUAGAGUUAUCAGGGCUCCCAGGGUCUCUGCAUGAAAGAGUUUCCUCUAGACAGAGGUGAGAGGGAACCAGGUGCCUGCAAGCCCUGGAAGUGAGUGAGUGAAUCAGCUGCCUCUGGGAACACACUCUCUGGAGCGUAAGCACUCUGAAUAUGUGUGACAAAAUGAUUAAAUUAUAUCUAAAUGAGACCCUGUCUGACUUUCCCUAGGUAAAUUGAAUGACUAUCCUUCAUGCUGAAAGAGAUUCCCUUCUCACCCCGAAGUGGCUGUAUUUAUCAUGGAUCAGACGUUCUGAAUUUUGAAUAGUGAUACUUAUAAAAUUCAUAUUGAAAAUAAAACCUUUUUUAAUUUUA